UACGUAGGGGGCAAGCGUUGUCCGGAUUUAUUGGGCGUAAAGAGCGUGUAGGCGGCUAGGUAGGUCCGUUGUGAAAACUCGAGGCUCAACCUCGAGACGUCGAUGGAAACCAUCUAGCUAGAGUCCGGAAGAGGAGAGUGGAAUUCCUGGUGUAGCGGUGAAAUGCGCAGAUAUCGUGAGGAACACCAGAGGCGAAGGCGGCUACCUGGACAAUUGCUGACGCUCAGGCACGAAAGCGUGGGGAGCAAAAGGG
RNAcentral lists this ribosomal RNA (253 nucleotides) under uncultured bacterium. RNAcentral's name for it is "partial 16S ribosomal RNA". It matches the Rfam family "Bacterial small subunit ribosomal RNA", at positions 524 to 776 of the family's 1533-position model. The record is from RNAcentral.